AUUGAACGCUGGCGGCAUGCUUUACACAUGCAAGUCGAACGGUAACAGGCCUUCGGGUGCUGACGAGUGGCGAACGGGUGAGUAAUGCAUCGGAACGUGCCCAGAGGUGGGGGAUAACGCAGCGAAAGCUGUGCUAAUACCGCAUGUGAUCUGAGGAUGAAAGCGGGGGACCAGGCAGCAAUGUUUGGCCUCGCGCCUUUGGAGCGGCCGAUGUCAGAUUAGGUAGUUGGUGGGGUAAAGGCCUACCAAGCCGACGAUCUGUAGCUGGUCUGAGAGGACGACCAGCCACACUGGGACUGAGACACGGCCCAGACUCCUACGGGAGGCAGCAGUGGGGAAUUUUGGACAAUGGGCGCAAGCCUGAUCCAGCAAUGCCGCGUGCGGGAAGAAGGCCUUCGGGUUGUAAACCGCUUUUGUGCGGAACGAAAAGGCUCUGGCUAAUACCUGGGGCUGAUGACGGUACCGGAAGAAUAAGCACCGGCUAACUACGUG
RNAcentral lists this ribosomal RNA (492 nucleotides) under uncultured bacterium. RNAcentral's name for it is "partial 16S ribosomal RNA". It matches the Rfam family "Bacterial small subunit ribosomal RNA", at positions 29 to 507 of the family's 1533-position model. The record is from RNAcentral.